GUUGCAGAAUCAUAAGUAAAAAUGAAGAUAACCCCAGUGGCGGAGCAUUCUAUACACAAGAUUGAAUCUGGUGUUGGAGUCUUAAGAAAUUACUUGACAAACUCCGACAUCCGUGAGAUGAUGUUUUACUUGAAAAUAAAUUAAAAAAAAAAAAGCAGAAGAGUCGGUGGGAUAAAAUGGACUCAAAAGGAGGAAGAUGACUACUUCUUAUCUUAUGCCAAUUGCUUCUCUUUCCCCUUUAAAGUCAAAGUCAAACACAUCUAAUUUGGAUUGGCCAAAAAUCGCGAGACUCUGAGACUUCAGUGUGUGGCCAGUGUGUCUCUGGACUUACGCUGCUCUGCAGUAGAAACACAGGUCCCAGAUCCCCCUGCAGUCCAGGGGUGACUGUCAUCUUUCCCUCAGCUUCCUGGAUAGACAAUACAAUGCAUAGCUAGCUGUCAUAUACAGGCCUGAAAAAUUGCGCGCAGCGCGUAUAUAAAUCCCAGACCAGGCAUUACACAACCGGAGUUUAAAGUGUCACGUGUAAAUCAUCCCGAGUUAAGCUGCUGAGGAAACACAAACCAUUCUCUAAGGACAUAUGAGACCAGGACUUCAGAAGAUGCUGCCUCACUGUGGGAUGGCAGAAAACAUCGGCUCGCAGACCACCCUGGUGUGCAGUAAUCAACAAUGCAGUGGCCCACUUUAUAAAGGCGUCAGACAGUCUGUAAGCAAAAAGGCAGGGCCUCCAGCUGAGCCGGGCCCUGCUAAUAAGUGGCUUGAAGUAAAAAAAAAGAAGAGAGAGAGGCAGCUUUAAGCAUAUGCAACAGGUCGCAUCACGGUCUUCUUUCCUCCCUUUGCCAGCGACCAUCUUUCAUGGGGAACAACUCCAUCGAGAACCUGUCCCCGCCACCAGGAGACCCCAGUGCACCAGUAUUCUUA
This is a long non-coding RNA of Alexandromys fortis (reed vole), 918 nucleotides long. RefSeq lists it as uncharacterized. The transcript has 3 exons. Lineage: Eukaryota; Metazoa; Chordata; Mammalia; Rodentia; Cricetidae. The record is from RefSeq and is a predicted model, not a curated record.